RNAcentral lists this ribosomal RNA (429 nucleotides) under Gemmatimonadota bacterium. Its description in RNAcentral is "Gemmatimonadetes bacterium partial 16S ribosomal RNA". It matches the Rfam family "Bacterial small subunit ribosomal RNA", at positions 355 to 776 of the family's 1533-position model. Lineage: Bacteria; Pseudomonadati; Gemmatimonadota. The record is from RNAcentral.
UAGGGAAUCUUCGGCAAUGGACGAAAGUCUGACCGAGCAACGCCGCGUGAGUGAAGAAGGUUUUCGGAUCGUAAAACUCUGUUGUUAGAGAAGAACAAGGACGUUAGUAACUGAACGUCCCCUGACGGUAUCUAACCAGAAAGCCACUGCUAACUACGUGCCAGCAGCCGCGGUAAUACGUAGGUGGCAAGCGUUGUCCGGAUUUAUUGGGCGUAAAGCGAGCGCAGGCGGUUUCUUAAGUCUGAUGUGAAAGCCCCCGGCUCAACCGGGGAGGGUCAUUGGAAACUGGGAGACUUGAGUGCAGAAGAGGAGAGUGGAAUUCCAUGUGUAGCGGUGAAAUGCGUAGAUAUAUGGAGGAACACCAGUGGCGAAGGCGGCUCUCUGGUCUGUAACUGACGCUGAGGCUCGAAAGCGUGGGGAGCAAACAGG